Molecule: ribosomal RNA, 253 nt
Filed under: uncultured bacterium
Lineage: Bacteria
Description: partial 16S ribosomal RNA
Rfam family: Bacterial small subunit ribosomal RNA
Source: RNAcentral
UACGUAGGGUGCGAGCGUUGUCCGGAAUUAUUGGGCGUAAAGAGCUCGUAGGCGGUCUGUCACGUCUGCUGUGAAAACUCGGGGCUUAACCCCGGGCCUGCAGUGGGUACGGGCAGACUAGAGUGCGGUAGGGGAGACUGGAAUUCCUGGUGUAGCGGUGAAAUGCGCAGAUAUCAGGAGGAACACCGGUGGCGAAGGCGGGUCUCUGGGCCGUAACUGACGCUGAGGAGCGAAAGCGUGGGGAGCGAACAGG